Molecule: ribosomal RNA, 155 nt
Filed under: uncultured Mesorhizobium sp.
Lineage: Bacteria; Pseudomonadati; Pseudomonadota; Alphaproteobacteria; Hyphomicrobiales; Phyllobacteriaceae
Description: partial 16S ribosomal RNA
Rfam family: Bacterial small subunit ribosomal RNA
Source: RNAcentral
GUGAUUCAGGUAAUUGUAUGGGCGCAGCCUGAUCCAGCCAUGCCGCGUGAGUGAUGAAGGCCCUAGGGUUGUAAAGCUCUUUCACCGGUGAAGAUAAUGACGGUAACCGGAGAAGAAGCCCCGGCUAACUUCGUGCCAGCAGCCGCGGUAAACCG